RNAcentral lists this ribosomal RNA (2018 nucleotides) under Staphylococcus aureus. RNAcentral's name for it is "23S ribosomal RNA". It matches the Rfam family "Bacterial large subunit ribosomal RNA", at positions 904 to 2925 of the family's 2925-position model. Lineage: Bacteria; Bacillati; Bacillota; Bacilli; Caryophanales; Staphylococcaceae. The record is from RNAcentral.
AGAGCACUGUUUGGACGAGGGGCCCCUCUCGGGUUACCGAAUUCAGACAAACUCCGAAUGCCAAUUAAUUUAACUUGGGAGUCAGAACAUGGGUGAUAAGGUCCAUGUUCGAAAGGGAAACAGCCCAGACCACCAGCUAAGGUCCCAAAAUAUAUGUUAAGUGGAAAAGGAUGUGGCGUUGCCCAGACAACUAGGAUGUUGGCUUAGAAGCAGCCAUCAUUUAAAGAGUGCGUAAUAGCUCACUAGUCGAGUGACACUGCGCCGAAAAUGUACCGGGGCUAAACAUAUUACCGAAGCUGUGGAUUGUCCUUUGGACAAUGGUAGGAGAGCGUUCUAAGGGCGUUGAAGCAUGAUCGUAAGGACAUGUGGAGCGCUUAGAAGUGAGAAUGCCGGUGUGAGUAGCGAAAGACGGGUGAGAAUCCCGUCCACCGAUUGACUAAGGUUUCCAGAGGAAGGCUCGUCCGCUCUGGGUUAGUCGGGUCCUAAGCUGAGGCCGACAGGCGUAGGCGAUGGAUAACAGGUUGAUAUUCCUGUACCACCUAUAAUCGUUUUAAUCGAUGGGGGGACGCAGUAGGAUAGGCGAAGCGUGCGAUUGGAUUGCACGUCUAAGCAGUAAGGCUGAGUAUUAGGCAAAUCCGGUACUCGUUAAGGCUGAGCUGUGAUGGGGAGAAGACAUUGUGUCUUCGAGUCGUUGAUUUCACACUGCCGAGAAAAGCCUCUAGAUAGAAAAUAGGUGCCCGUACCGCAAACCGACACAGGUAGUCAAGAUGAGAAUUCUAAGGUGAGCGAGCGAACUCUCGUUAAGGAACUCGGCAAAAUGACCCCGUAACUUCGGGAGAAGGGGUGCUCUUUAGGGUUAACGCCCAGAAGAGCCGCAGUGAAUAGGCCCAAGCGACUGUUUAUCAAAAACACAGGUCUCUGCUAAACCGUAAGGUGAUGUAUAGGGGCUGACGCCUGCCCGGUGCUGGAAGGUUAAGAGGAGUGGUUAGCUUCUGCGAAGCUACGAAUCGAAGCCCCAGUAAACGGCGGCCGUAACUAUAACGGUCCUAAGGUAGCGAAAUUCCUUGUCGGGUAAGUUCCGACCCGCACGAAAGGCGUAACGAUUUGGGCACUGUCUCAACGAGAGACUCGGUGAAAUCAUAGUACCUGUGAAGAUGCAGGUUACCCGCGACAGGACGGAAAGACCCCGUGGAGCUUUACUGUAGCCUGAUAUUGAAAUUCGGCACAGCUUGUACAGGAUAGGUAGGAGCCUUUGAAACGUGAGCGCUAGCUUACGUGGAGGCGCUGGUGGGAUACUACCCUAGCUGUGUUGGCUUUCUAACCCGCACCACUUAUCGUGGUGGGAGACAGUGUCAGGCGGGCAGUUUGACUGGGGCGGUCGCCUCCUAAAAGGUAACGGAGGCGCUCAAAGGUUCCCUCAGAAUGGUUGGAAAUCAUUCAUAGAGUGUAAAGGCAUAAGGGAGCUUGACUGCGAGACCUACAAGUCGAGCAGGGUCGAAAGACGGACUUAGUGAUCCGGUGGUUCCGCAUGGAAGGGCCAUCGCUCAACGGAUAAAAGCUACCCCGGGGAUAACAGGCUUAUCUCCCCCAAGAGUUCACAUCGACGGGGAGGUUUGGCACCUCGAUGUCGGCUCAUCGCAUCCUGGGGCUGUAGUCGGUCCCAAGGGUUGGGCUGUUCGCCCAUUAAAGCGGUACGCGAGCUGGGUUCAGAACGUCGUGAGACAGUUCGGUCCCUAUCCGUCGUGGGCGUAGGAAAUUUGAGAGGAGCUGUCCUUAGUACGAGAGGACCGGGAUGGACAUACCUCUGGUGUACCAGUUGUCGUGCCAACGGCAUAGCUGGGUAGCUAUGUGUGGACGGGAUAAGUGCUGAAAGCAUCUAAGCAUGAAGCCCCCCUCAAGAUGAGAUUUCCCAACUUCGGUUAUAAGAUCCCUCAAAGAUGAUGAGGUUAAUAGGUUCGAGGUGGAAGCAUGGUGACAUGUGGAGCUGACGAAUACUAAUCGAUCGAAGACUUAAUCAA